This 447-nucleotide ribosomal RNA is filed under the name uncultured bacterium. Its description in RNAcentral is "partial 16S ribosomal RNA". It matches the Rfam family "Bacterial small subunit ribosomal RNA", at positions 30 to 523 of the family's 1533-position model. The record is from RNAcentral.
AUUGAACGCUGGCGGCAGGCUUAACACAUGCAAGUCGAACGCCCCGCAAGGGGAGUGGCAGACGGGUGAGUAACACGUGGGAACGUACCCUUUGGUUCGGAAUAACUUGGGGAAACUCAAGCUAAUACCGGAUAAGCCCUUAUGGGGAAAGGUUUACUGCCGAAGGAUCGGCCCGCGUCUGAUUAGCUAGUUGGUGAGGUAAUGGCUCACCAAGGCGACGAUCAGUAGCUGGUCUGAGAGGAUGAUCAGCCACACUGGGACUGAGACACGGCCCAGACUCCUACGGGAGGCAGCAGUGGGGAAUAUUGGACAAUGGGGGCAACCCUGAUCCAGCCAUGCCGCGUGAGUGAUGAAGGCCUUAGGGUUGUAAAGCUCUUUUACCCGGGACGAUAAUGACUGUACCGGGAGAAUAAGCCCCGGCUAACUUCGUGCCAGCCGCCGCGGUAA